This 281-nucleotide small RNA is filed under the name Arabidopsis thaliana (thale cress). Its description in RNAcentral is "ATSL085360". Lineage: Eukaryota; Viridiplantae; Streptophyta; Magnoliopsida; Brassicales; Brassicaceae. The record is from RNAcentral.
AACAUAAUUAAAUAACUACGUAUACGGUAAUAGCUAAAUAUUCUUUUAUAAUUAUGGAAUUUAUCAUAAUCACUAAACUUGAAUUCGACGAUUUAAUAUUUUGUGCAUAUAUUUUUACUUAACAGUUCUUAUCUUCUUUUACCCUCUCGUCUCUUUUUUUUUUAUUCUAGCAGAAGAGAACGAGACGAUGGAGAAAACCGAGAUUGUGGGAUUGACGAGACCAUGGAGAAAGCAAUACAUCGAGUUAUCGUCACUCUCUCUCUCUCUCUCUCUCUCUCUCU